UUUUUUUUUUUUUUGCUUAAAUGAGCUCAUCUCUUCUGUUGACUUGAAAUAUCAAGUAUCUGUCAAUCACUCACAUGUUCCUGAGGCUAGAGGUGGCCUUGUCUCAGCUCUAGGCUCCGUCACCUGGCUGGAGAUAAAAUGAAAGCAGUGGGAAUGUAAUAAUUGCCUGGCAACUGUAUUUUCUCAGAUAUAAUGGCCCUGAACCCCAUCCUAAAGACUUGGAAGUUGGACUUGUCUCUUUUUGGAGGGGAGCCCACCUGUGGCAUAUAGAAAUUCACAGCCCAGGGGUUGACCCUGUGCUGCAGCAGCAACCUGAGCCACUGCAGUGACGAUGCUGGAUCCUUAACUCACUGAGCCACAGGGGAACUCCCAGAGUUGUCUUUCUAAGACUUGGGAUGGUUUUAUACUGAGCUAUCUUCUUCCUCUGACCCUCCACACAACUGCAAAAGGAUGACUGUGAUGGCGACUGCUUGCUGUCCACCAAAAUCCAUUUCCUUUACUGUGGGUACAAAUCAAAUCCACAGGGCCUCACCCCAAGCGUUAGGUGUGUCAGGUGUUAGGUGCAGCCCACGACUGGGUUCUGUCCAGGAGACCCAGGGCAGAGGGGAUCAAGGGUCUGGAGGGGUAAGGCGGCACUGCAUUCUUCAACAGGUAAGACUGGCAACUAUCUCCUCCAUCCAAUAGUUAUCAAGAAUGCAAUAAACACUGGCCAGAACGGCCGUCAUCCAAAAGUCUCCAAGCAGUAAGUGCUGGAGAGGGUGUGGAGAAAAGGGAGCCCUCUUACACGGUUGGUGGGAAUGUAAAAUGGUGCCGCCACUGUGGACGACAAUAUGGAGAUGCCUCCGAAAACUGAACAUAGAAUUGCCAUUUGAUCCAGCAAUCCCACUUCUGGGCAUCUAUCCAGAGAAAACCAUGACUCGAAAAUUUCGACACGUUCUCCUAUGUUCACUGCAGCACUCUUUGCAAUAGUCAAGACAUGGAAACAACCUAAAUGUCCCUCAAAGGAAGAGAGGUGGUACAUAUACACAAUGGAAUAUUACUUAGCCAUUAAAAGGAAUGAAAUAACAGCAUUUGCAGCAACAUGGAUGGAGUUGAAAAUUAUCAUGCUAAGUGAAGUGAGUCAGACAGUGAUAGCAACAUCAAAUGCUAUCACUGACAUAUGGAAUCUAAAAAAAAAAGGACACAAUGAAUUUCUUUGCAGAACAGAUACAGACUCACAGAUUUUGAAAAACUUAUGGUUUCCAAAGGAGACAGGUUGGGGGUGGGGGGGUGGGCUGGGGGUGUGGGAUGGACAUGUUAUAAAAUUGGGUUGUGAUGAUUGUUGUAUAACUAUAAAUGCAAUAAAAUUCAUUUUUUAAAAAAGAAUGCUCUGAAUGUUCCAACCACCCAUUCCACAGCCUCUUGCUAUUCAGAGUAAUAAUUACCCUGAAAUUUCAGAUACUUAGUCCUGGGUGGGAUAUUCCUGAAGCAUAGCAUUAGCAGAUACAGAAUUUUCUGUAUGGUUUCUUUCUACAGUAUAACAGAGUGAUGCAUUAAUUUCUCCCCUAGAGCAAACGAGCCUUAUUUGAGAAGGAGAACUCCUAAAGUUGCCCUCUUUCAUGAACCCAUUAGUAUAAUUGAAAGCUGGCUUGUUUUUGUCCAAAAUUACAUGAACAGACAGGCAAGGCCAUGAUCCCUCGACACACAGGAAAAGAAUUACAUUUUCUUCUUUUGUUACAUGAUUCCAGUACCUGAAAAACACAAGAGCAACAAAGAAGCAUCUCAAAGUUAAUGGAGGUUCUGGGCCAGACUGUGGCCAUCGAUGGCCACUCUCUGUGUCUCUGGCGGGGACAUCGCAGCCACUCUGGCGUUGGGGGUGGAAGGGGGGCAGUGCGGUGCUUGGAAAGGAUGUGGGCUGUUGGACUCAGCAAGGGACACACACGGCAGAUGUCUGAGGGUGGCACUGAUGUCACAUCCACCUUCUGCGUCUUUGCCAUCACCUGGUGUUUCUCAAGUUCUUAACACGUGGAAGGGUCUUAUUUAUUGGUGUCAUUCUCACCAAAAUAUUUGUCUCAUUUUUCCAUUUGUCCAGUGGGCUCCUGGAUGUGGUGGGGUUGCAGGAGACCCCAAGAGUGCCCUGUCUGUGACAAAAAUAAACUGUCAGCCAAUCCUGGAGCACAAAGGUGUGGGACCCCACCCCGCCCAGCCCAGACUCUGGAGACGGCACGCUUUGACAAGAUGAGGGGGGCAAAGGAGAGGACCUUGGUGGGACAACCAGACCUGCUGGUCCCCUCUGCGUGGCAGAAACAAUGGGCUGACUGAGCAAACCCACACGAGGCCAGGAAGAUGUGCAUGAAGCAGAGAAAGAUUCCUACUCUGGGGAGGUGUUCUGAUAAGACCGGUGCCCAGGCCUGGGCCCCAUCAGCUGGGCCUUACACUUGGCCACGUCUCUGCUGGGCAGGCCUGGACAAAUUGCUCGGCGUCUCUGAGCUCAGGCUGCCCACCUUCAACAGAACAUCGAGACAUGCCCGCCACGUGCUGUGUGACUUUUCUAUCACACCAUAACAAAUGACCACACACCGAGAGGCUUAAACACACACACACACACACACACACACACACACACACACACAUGUGUUAACUCACCGUUUAUCAGGCCAGAGGUCCGGGCUCAGCUUACCUAGGUCCUUCUCAGGUGUCACAGUUUGCAGUUAAGGUGUCUGCCAUAUUCUCAUCUGAAGGCUUGAUUGAGAAGACGGCUUCCCAGAGCCCCCGGGAGGACUCACAGCUCAGUUCCUUGCAGCUGUAGGGCUAAGAGUUUUAGGCUUUGCGAGGCACUGGCUGGAGCCUGCCCUCGGCUCCCAGAGGUCACCUGCAGUGCUUUGCCAUGUGUCCCUCAGCAGAGGCAGCUUACCCUGUGGCUGUUUGCUUCUCCAAGGCCAGAACAAGCAUCUAGCAAGGCCAAAGAUACAUGUAAUCACAGGAGAAGCCUCCAUCACAGAUACACAUUCCAGGCUUAAAGAGCAAGUUCCAGGUCCCACCCACCCUCACAGGGAGGGUUUCACAAAGGCCUGAGCCGAAGAAAGUGGGGGUCACAGUGCCAUCUUGGACCCUGCCCACCGUCACAGGUGCUCGAGAAAGAGUGGUCAUGGCUGGUCGUGUGUGUGUUAUGAUUUCAAAUGUCUGAGUUGGUAUCGAACCAUUCUUCCAAUGCCAACCAUGUGGUCUAUCUAGGGUGACAUAGUUUUAAGUGUGACCAGAAAAAGGUAACAUCCUACACAUUGCCAAGAUUCAGCUGGCACGUUCUAUCAGGGGAAGGCUAUACGGGCAAGAGAGUAAAUAAGAGUUCAGAAAACUAUGCCACAUGUACAUUUAAUAUAGAAUAUUUGGUCAUAAGAUGUUCAAACAUUAUUGAAAUAAAAUAUAUUCUCAUGGUCAAGGUAUGUAUCCAAUUAAUGAAAUUACGGAUUAAUGAAAAUUAUUUAUUUCUAUAAUUUAUAUAUGCCCUUUUUGUAUAUUUACAUAUUAUUAUUACAUGGAUUUCAUAGCUGUUACACUAUAAGAAAACUAGCGUCAAAUAUACUCAGGUGCAGAGAGUGAGAAGCAGGGGUGAAAUCCAUCCCCCCGUUGGCACUGAGAACGGGGCCAGCUGACCUAGUGAAGUGGACUUAUCUGGAUGCCUUUCUCUAAACCAGCAAAUAGUUUUCAUCCAUCAGCACCGUGGGGGAUGCACAGUUGUCGGAAGAAAAGGGUCUUUCUAGGACCACAGCAAGGGGAGCACGUGCUGUGGCUUCUCUGCCGGGACCUUUCCCUGGGAAAGUCAGAUGUCACACGCCCAGGCUGGAAAGGCUGUGAUGGGCCACACAGCUCCUGCCCAGGAGCAGGAAUGCAUGGCACUGUCUGAGCAUCCUGCCCCAGCAAGCCAGUGCCCCCCAUGGUCUGAGGCUACACAACCAUGUCCACUGGCUUUAAUUUAAGUUGAAGCAUCAUCUGGCCCUUUGCAAAGGGAGACAGGACAAGGUGGCCCUAAAGCAGGAUGGAGUGGCAGCGAAGCCGAGGGGUGGCUCAUGAUGCCCACUUAUAGGAUGUUUACAAGCAUUAUAUACCACAAGAAGCUAACUGAUCUAGUGUGUGUAAAAAAAAAUCACAUAUACAUACAUAUAGGGACAUAGGUAUGUGAAUUUACGGGGAUAUGCAGAUGUGUGUGUUAGGGCCGUGGGGAGAGGUGCGUGUGUGUGUAAAAUAUAUGGGAAUGGAUGUCUGUGUGCACACAGACUCGUGGAUGGGGUUAUGUAUUUGUGGGUACAGGGAAAUAUGCCUAUGAAUGCAUAGGGUCUCUGUAUACAUAUAAACACAGAUAAAUGUGCAUACGAGGUUGUCUGUGUGCAAACAGUGAUAUCUGCCCAUGAACAGAUGACACAGGUAUAGACACGUGUACCUAAGCACGUGCACGAUGGGAUGUUCACGUUUAUAUGAGGAUGCGUGUCUGUGUAUAACUGGGGGGGUGUGUCUGUGUGCCUGGGGGGACACAAGUCUCCGAGUGCACACAGGUAAAAGGUCUGUGUAUACAGGAGAUGGAUGCUUAUUUUCUUUUUACAGCUGCACCUGUGGCAUAUGGAGGUUCUCAGGCUAGGGGUCCAAUGGGAGCUGCAGCUGCUGGCCUGCACCACAGCAAUGCAGGAUUUGAUUCCCAUCUGUGACCUACACCACAGCUCACGGCAACGCCAGAUCCUUAACCCACGGAGCGAGGCCAGGGAGGGAGCCCACGUCCUCAUGGAUCCCAGUUGGGUUCGUUUCCACGUAGCCAAAACAGGAACUCCGUGUACCUGUUAUUUUGACUUGGGGGAGUAAAGGCACAGGCAGGAAGCAUCUGCACUGGGACACAGACAUGAGCGAGAACAGCAAAAGGCAAAGUCAGAAACCGGGACCACCCCACUCUUUGAAGUGGAGAAAGAGGAAGAAACUCUCCGGGAUAAAAUGAGACAGAACAGCGAUGGGGACCAGAAGGCCAGGCACAGGAGGUGGCUGCAGGGCGAGUGUCAUCAGACGGGCUGGCCUCUGGCACCCCCGGGUGUGAUGCUCACCUCUGUCUCAGAUGGCCUUUGACCUUUGCUGAAGCUAUCCUCAAAUUUUAACACACAUGCAAAUCACCAGAUGUCUUAUGAAAAUGCAUUGCGCUUCAGUUCAUUUAGGCUGUGGCCUGAGAGUCUUUCUGCCUCUCUAACAAGCUCCCAAGAGAUGCUGAUGCUGCUGGUCUGUGGACCUCGCUUGGGGGAGCAAAGAUCUAA
Molecule: long non-coding RNA, 5267 nt
Filed under: Sus scrofa (pig)
Lineage: Eukaryota; Metazoa; Chordata; Mammalia; Artiodactyla; Suidae
Description: lncRNA (ENSSSCG00040002310.1)
Source: RNAcentral